GUCAGAGGUUCGAAGGCGAUCAGAUACCGCCCUAGUUCUAACCAUAAACGAUGCCAACCAGCGAUCCGUCGGUGUUUAUUUGAUGACUCGGCGGGCAGCUUCCGGGAAACCAAAGUGCUUAAGUUCCGGGGGAAGUAUGGUUGCAAAGCUGAAACUUAAAGGAAUUGACGGAAGGGCACCACCAGGAGUGGAGCCUGCGGCUUAAUUUGACUCAACACGGGAAAACUCACCCGGCCCGGACACCGUAAGGAUUGACAGAUUGAGAGCUCUUUCUUGAUUCGGUGGUUGGUGGUGCAUGGCCGUUCUUAAUUGGUGGAGCGAUUUGUCUGGUUUAUUCCGACAACGA
RNAcentral lists this ribosomal RNA (346 nucleotides) under uncultured eukaryote. Its description in RNAcentral is "SSU rRNA". It matches the Rfam family "Eukaryotic small subunit ribosomal RNA", at positions 989 to 1334 of the family's 1831-position model. The record is from RNAcentral.